Molecule: long non-coding RNA, 228 nt
Filed under: Struthio camelus australis
Lineage: Eukaryota; Metazoa; Chordata; Aves; Struthioniformes; Struthionidae
Description: lncRNA (ENSSCUG00000016335.1)
Source: RNAcentral
GAGUUACAGAACUCUAAGAAAAGGGUCAUGGAAAAAAAAUCCUUCAUAGAGGAAUAACUGAGUCAAAGCUGAGAUGAAGUUUUAAAUACAGAGAAGGAUCCAAAUAUCCUGACAGGAGCACAUGACUCUGAAGGCUGGACUAAUUUAAAUGGCAUGAAAGGUUCUAAUUUACUAGCCACGCCUGACUUCAGUGGCCUAACAUUGCAAGCCUGAGAAAACUAACAUCAG